GAUGAACGCUGGCGGUAUGCUUAACACAUGCAAGUCGAACGAAAGCUUUAUGCUUUAGUGGCGAACGGGUGCGUAAUACGUGAGAAUCUGCCCUUAGGAGGAGAAUAACUUCUGGAAACGGUUGCUAAGUCUCCAUAUGCCGAGAGGUAAAAUAGUUUACACUGCCUAGGGAUGAGCUCACGCCUGAUUAGCUUGUUGGUAAGGUAAUGGCUUACCAAGG
RNAcentral lists this ribosomal RNA (220 nucleotides) under uncultured bacterium. RNAcentral's name for it is "partial 16S ribosomal RNA". It matches the Rfam family "Bacterial small subunit ribosomal RNA", at positions 28 to 273 of the family's 1533-position model. The record is from RNAcentral.